UCCACUUGCUAGGGGUGCCGUAAGGCUGAGAAGGAGAAAUCCUAACUCUAUGAACCUGAUGUGGUUAGAACCACCGUAGGGAAGCGAGAGGUCUGUUUU
Molecule: non-coding RNA, 99 nt
Filed under: Clostridium sp.
Lineage: Bacteria; Bacillati; Bacillota; Clostridia; Eubacteriales; Clostridiaceae
Also listed under: 1 other name
Description: TPP sequence
Rfam family: TPP riboswitch aptamer (THI element)
About the family: Vitamin B(1) in its active form thiamin pyrophosphate (TPP) is an essential coenzyme that is synthesised by coupling of pyrimidine and thiazole moieties in bacteria.
Source: RNAcentral